GUGAGUCAUCGAAUCUUUGAACGCACCUUGCGCUCCUUGGUAUUCCUUGGAGCAUGCCUGUUUGAGUAUCAUGAAAUCUUCAAAGUAAAAUCUUUUGUUCACUCAAUUGGUUUGACUUUGGUAUUUGGAGGUUUUUGCAGCUUCACACCUGCUCCUCUUUGUGCAUUAGCUGGAUCUCAGUGUUAUGCUUGGUUCCACUCAGCGUGAUAAAUUAUCUAUCGUUGAGGACACCGUAAAAAGGUGGCCAAGGUAAAUGCAGAUGAACCGCUUCUAAUAGUCCAUUGACUUGGACAAUAUUUU
This 300-nucleotide unclassified non-coding RNA is filed under the name uncultured Thanatephorus. Its description in RNAcentral is "sequence contains 5.8S rRNA gene, ITS2". The stretch from base 1 to 71 matches the Rfam family "5.8S ribosomal RNA", at positions 84 to 154 of the family's 154-position model. Lineage: Eukaryota; Fungi; Basidiomycota; Agaricomycetes; Cantharellales; Ceratobasidiaceae. The record is from RNAcentral.